This is a long non-coding RNA of Drosophila ficusphila, 819 nucleotides long. RefSeq lists it as uncharacterized. The record is from RefSeq and is a predicted model, not a curated record. The transcript is spliced from 2 exons. NCBI's taxonomy places the organism in Eukaryota, Metazoa, Arthropoda, Insecta, Diptera, Drosophilidae.
ACUGGUCACCUUCAUUUUCACUUAUGACAGAUGACGUGGUAAGGUUUUGUGGAAAAUAUAAGAUUCGAUGCGCCAGAUCUUUGAAUUUAAAGCGUACCUAAUGAAUUUUCCGCACUUGCAUGGAAGAUACUAUAUAAUCGGCUGAACAGCCAGCCUUCAGCAACUGCAAUCAUGAAGCUUCUGUGUUUGGUUAUAUUCGCUUUACUGGGAAUCGCGAGCCCCUCAUAUGCAAUGCCCAAAUUUAGAUCGACGCGGUAUGGAUAAUAAAAUAAAACAAACAACUGCUGAUCGUUUGAAUAUUAGAAUGACUAAUAAAGUGUGUUCUAUUUAAGCAGAAAAUAUCAAAAGUUUCGUUUUAAUAGUAAAGGGCAACUUAACAAUGUUGUGAACAUUUUGAAAAAUUUCGGUUUAUGGGUAAGUACUUAAAUGAAAAUUAAUAACAAAAUAUUUUGAUUAUAUAAAAGACAGCAGAAAAAGAUAUUAUACCAAAAAAAAAAAGAUUCUAUGCGGAUUUGAGUUCCUCAAGGGUGCGUCAAAUCGUAGAAUUUAAAGCGUACCUAAGGGAUUCGCAGCACUUGCAUUGGAGGCUACUAUAUAAUCUGUUGAACUGCCUGCCUUCAGCAUCUGCAAUCAUGAAGCUUCUGAGUUUGGUUGUAUUCGCUUUACUGGGCAUCGCGAACUCUGCAAAUGGAAUGCCGCCAUGGGAAACACUAGUAGGAAGCGAAUUCCAUUCUGGGAGGAAAUAAAGUUAAAACAAGCUAUUGCUGAUUGCUUUCAAUUUAUAAUUACUAAUAAAGUGAAUUUUAUUUAUGCCGAAAA